UUUCGAAUUAUUCACAAUGGGCGCAAGCCUGAUGGUGCGACGCCGCGUGGGGGAUGAAGGUCUUCGGAUUGUAAACCCCUGUCACCGGGGAAGAAACGCUGAAUGUUAACAUCAUUCAGCCUGACUUAACCCGGAGAGGAAGCAGUGGCUAACUCUGUGCCAGCAGCCGCGGUAAUACAGAGACUGCAAGCGUUAUUCGGAUUCACUGGGCGUAAAGGGUGCGCAGGCGGCCGUGUGUGUUAGGCGUGAAAGCCCGAGGCUUAACCUCGGAAUUGCACCUAAAACUACACGGCUAGAGUACUGGAGAGGGUAGCGGAAUUCACGGUGUAGCAGUGAAAUGCGUAGAUAUCGAGAGGAACACCCGUGGCGAAGGCGGCUUUCUGGACAGCGAUUGACGCUGAGACGCGAAAGCGUGGGGAGCAAACA
Molecule: ribosomal RNA, 426 nt
Filed under: uncultured bacterium
Lineage: Bacteria
Description: bacterial SSU rRNA
Rfam family: Bacterial small subunit ribosomal RNA
Source: RNAcentral